AGCGAACGCUGGCGGCAGGCUUAACACAUGCAAGUCGAACGCAUCCUUCGGGGUGAGUGGCAGACGGGUGAGUAACACGUGGGAACGUACCCUUCGAUCUGGGAUAACUUCGGGAAACUGGAGCUAAUACCGGAUACGCCCUUUUGGGGAAAGGUUUACUGUCGAAGGAUCGGCCCGCGUCUGAUUAGCUAGUUGGUGGGGUAACGGCCUACCAAGGCGACGAUCAGUAGCUGGUCUGAGAGGAAGAUCAGCCACACUGGGACUGAGACACGGCCCAGACUCCUACGGGAGGCAGCAGUGGGGAAUAUUGGACAAUGGGCGCAAGCCUGAUCCAGCCAUGCCGCGUGAGUGAUGAAGGCCUUAGGGUUGUAAAGCUCUUUUGUCCGGGACGAUAAUGACGGUACUGGAAGAAUAAGCCCCGGCUAACUUCGUG
This 433-nucleotide ribosomal RNA is filed under the name uncultured bacterium. RNAcentral's name for it is "partial 16S ribosomal RNA". It matches the Rfam family "Bacterial small subunit ribosomal RNA", at positions 29 to 507 of the family's 1533-position model. The record is from RNAcentral.